RNAcentral lists this ribosomal RNA (497 nucleotides) under uncultured bacterium. Its description in RNAcentral is "partial 16S ribosomal RNA". It matches the Rfam family "Bacterial small subunit ribosomal RNA", at positions 28 to 507 of the family's 1533-position model. The record is from RNAcentral.
GAUGAACGCUGGCGGCGUGCCUAAUACAUGCCAGUCGAGCGAACGGACGAGAAGCUUGCUUCUCUGAUGUUAGCGGCGGACGGGUGAGUAACACGUGGAUAACCUACCUAUAAGACUGGGAUAACUUCGGGAAACCGGAGCUAAUACCGGAUGAUAUUUUGAACCGCAUGGUUCAAAAGUGAAAGACGGUCUUGCUGUCACUUCUAGAUGGAUCCGCGCUGCAUUAGCUAGUUGGUAAGGUAACGGCUUACCAAGGCAACGAUGCAUAGCCGACCUGAGAGGGGGAUCGGCCACACUGGAACUGAGACACGGUCCAGGCCCCUACGGGAGGCAGCAGUAGGGAAUCUUCCGCAAUGGGCGAAAGCCUGACGGAGCAACGCCGCGUGAGUGAUGAAGGUCUUCGGAUCGUAAAACUCUGUUAUGAGGGAAGAACAUAUGUGUAAGUAACUGUGCACAUAUUGACGGUACCUAAUCAGAAAGCCACGGCUAACUACGUG